Anopheles moucheti is the source of this 7720-nucleotide RNA transcript. It is a transcript of the gene named disks large 1 tumor suppressor protein, with no coding region annotated. NCBI's taxonomy places the organism in Eukaryota, Metazoa, Arthropoda, Insecta, Diptera, Culicidae. The record is from RefSeq and is a predicted model, not a curated record. The transcript has 17 exons.
CAUAUUUUUAGACGGCUGCCUAAAGAGAAGAAAUCCCACCAAGCCGAACAUGAUGAUGCGCGGGCGUAUUGCCCAAAGUGUUGACCCUAACCGGUCCGGAUGUGCGCGCAACUCGAUGGAGGGGAGCUAUCGAAGGGGACGGAACGGUGACUCACAAACAUGCUGCUACCAGACAUUUGCGAUUAUGUUGCACCAUGCUGCUUUUCUUUUUUGAAACUGACUGCAUACACACCCAAGACCCAUUUGGAUUGAAACAACUCGUGGAUAUGCUGACGAAUAUAAUGGAUUGAAUGGAACGGGCGUACGCAAGGCGACCGUGUAACGUGGAAAUAAUGAUUGAAGUUUAAUCGAAAGGUGACUAUCGUUUGAGUGAAUAAAUAGCGCUGUAAACGCAAUGCCGGUUGGUGCUUCAGGCUAGAUCGGUGUGUUCGGGGUGCGUGCGUGCGUAAGAAACGUUUCCUCCCCCUACCCCCACCUGCAAUACACCCACCGGUCACCAUUUUCCCCCCGUGAAAAGGAAAAGCGCGUUACAGCCGGGAAAAGGCGGGGGGUUAAAUGAUUGUAACACACGGUCGUAAAAGAGUAAAAAGGUGAAAGGGCUGUUGCUUUUUUCCAUUCACCCCACCCAAAUGCGGUACGUGUGGGCUGUAUCGGAAUGUUCUUGAGAUGAAGGGGGUGUUAUGGAACCGGUUCUGCAGUGGGAAAGAUGAAGGAAAGGAUUGUUAGGAAACUACUUAAAGAAAGGAUGCAGGAAGUAUGUGGGAGGGAAAAAAACAGAAGAAGAAAACGGAGCAAAUAGAACCAUUUAAAGAUCGCGGAACCGCUGCGAAAGCGGAUAAACCAAUAUUUCAUUACGCACAUCAGACGCAAGCGAUAAGCGAAGGCACUUGGCACUGUUUAGCACGAUUCGUUGUUGUGUGCCCUAUCGAAAGGACGUUUUUCUUGCUUUCUUGAUUUAAUAUCUCUUACCGGCAAGGCUUUUACCAUUUUGUUGCGUCCUUAAUUCGCCCUUGACGUAUUUUAGCUCCGUACCGUAGACGGUUUCGCCACUGACCUGAGACACAAGCGAUUCCGGACAAGCUGGAACUCGAAUGAUAUCCCCUACACAAUUGCACGGGAAAGUGUUACAUCGGGCAAAUGGCGAUUUUGCUUUGCAUUACUUAACCAUGGGUGAAGGAAUAAAUGUUUCCAUUGCCAGAAAUUUAAUUAAUUAUCGAUCGUUGGGUUGAGAUUUUUGUUUACCUACUCGUUCCUACUACUACCAGAUACUCGUUCGAUAUUUAUUGAUCGCUGAUUUGAUUUUUUGUUUUGUUACAAUGUAUUACCUUUAUCAUUUAUUUUACCUUUCUUAUAAUUUUUUUAGGCGUGCGUUUGUAUGUGUGCAUAAUUGUUUCUUUGUGUGUGUGUGUUUUGUGAAGGGCAAAGUGUAAUUAGCGUUGUAAGCACCAAGUGGCAAGUGAAAUAAAGUCAAAGAAAAUGCUUUAAUCGUAUCAUACUAAAAAAAAUCCCCGGAAUCCCAAGCUCUUUAUAUCUUAUCGACCGGCGUAAAGUGAGUUCUCGUUCUUCUUGGCCCAGCAAACAAAAAAAAAAUCACCCUGACCGCACACUCGCCCCAUUUCUCAUCACUUCCCAUAAAUGUAUGCUUAAGGAAGGCUGUUUGUGUGGUGCGGUUCCGAGGGAAAAGGGGGCACCUAAGCGGUGGGCGGGAGUUUCCUAGUCGAUGAUUAAACGGUACUAAAUAUAGAAACAAAACAACACCAAUAUAAACUCUACCGUAAAGGCAACAGAUUACAAAAAAAUCUGGUUAAAAGCAAGUGAAAAACGCGUGGGGAGGGUAAGAGCAAGAAAGAGAAAAGAAAAACCACCCCUACAAAAACAAAGCAAAACAAAAAAGGAAAUAAAACAUGACGACGAGGAAAAAGAAACGCCAGCAGGAUGGAGGAGGCGGAGGCGCGGGCGGUGGAGGAUUCCUCAAAAAGGUUUCGUCCUUAUUCAGCCUGGAUACGGUUCCGACAUCGAAUGCGAAUGAUACAAAACAGCUGAAUGGCGAUUCGCCGUGGGAGUACGAUGAGAUAACGCUGCUACGCGGCUCGACCGGGUUGGGCUUCUCGAUCGCGGGCGGUACGGACAAUCCGCACAUCAAUCUCGACGCGUCGAUCUACAUAACGAAGGUGAUACCGGGUGGUGCGGCCCACGUCGACGGUCGGCUGCAGGUGAACGAUUGCAUCGUGGCCGUGAACGAGGUGCGCGUGGUGAACGUAACGCACGGGGAAGCCGUCGAUGCGCUCAAGCAGGCGGGCGACCGUGUGACGCUGCACAUCCGCCGGAAGCGCCCACCCGCCCAGGCACCGAAGCUGGAGGAGAUCGAACUGCUGAAAGGUAGCAAAGGGCUCGGUUUUUCGAUUGCGGGCGGUAUCGGCAACCAGCACAUCCCGGGCGAUAAUGGCAUUUACGUAACGAAGAUCAUGGAGGGCGGUGCGGCCCACAUCGACGGCCGGCUCGCCGUCGGUGACAAGCUGAUCGCGGUCCGCACACCGGACGGUGGAGAGCGCAAUCUCGAGAACGUGGUGCACGAGGAGGCGGUCGCAACGCUCAAGGCGAUCACCAACCGGGCGACGCUGAUCGUGCAGAAGACGAACAUACUGCAGGCGCUCGCCAACUCGAUCAGCAACCUUAACUCGCUGUCGACGAACGCGAUGAACAACGUUGGCGUCAGCAUGGUCGACCAUGCGUCGCCGGAUGCGGGCGGUGGUGGCGGCGGCGGUGAGGCCGGCGGAGGCGACACGGAAAUGGCACCAACGGCACGUUCCCACUCGCCAGCGUUCGCACUGGAGAACAGCUCAUCCCGGUACGCAUCGUCGAACGUGCUCGAAACCGGCAUGCCGAUCGGUACACCGCGCGCCGUUAGCAGCGAAGACAUUACACGAGUACCGCGCACGAUCGUCAUUCGGAAAGGAGCGUCCGGACUUGGGUUCAAUAUUGUCGGUGGUGAGGAUGGACAGGGGAUCUUCGUAUCGUACGUGCUGGCUGGCGGAGCAGCCGAUCUCGGUGGUGAACUAAAACGUGGCGACCAGCUACUAUUCGUCAAUGGCAUCAGUUUGGCAAAUGCAUCGCAUGAAGAUGCAGCGCAGGCCCUUAAGAAUGCCGGUGGCACGGUAACGUUGGUUGUGCAGUACCGACCGGAAGAUUACAACCGGUUCGAACAACGCAUUCAGGAGCUGAAGCAGGCGGUGGCAGCCGGUACCGGCACGCUGCUGCGAACCUCUCAGAAGCGUACGCUCUUCGUACGUGCACUGUUCGACUACGAUCCGAACCGGGACGAUGGGUUACCGACCCGUGGUCUCCAGUUCCGGCACGGUGACAUACUGCACGUGACGAACGCGUCCGACGACGAAUGGUGGCAGGCACGGCGCGUCAUCGGCGAGGACGAGGAGGAAAGCAUCGGUAUCGUGCCGUCGAAACGGCGCUGGGAGCGUAAGCAGCGUGCCCGUGACCGUAGCGUUAAGUUCCAGGGUCACGCCGGUGCGAACAAUAACAACCUGGAAAAGGUAUCUCCAUCGGGCGAGGAGGUGUCCACGCUCGAUCGUAAAAAGAAAAACUUCUCCUUCUCCCGCCGGUUCCCGUUCAUGAAGAGCAAAGACGAUAAGAACGAGGAUGGAUCGGAUCAGGAGCCCAAUGGCAACCUGAGCGAUCCAAAUGGUCACGAUCCGGAGCAGCCUUUCAUGCUUUGCUACACACAAGAAGACGCGAAUGCCGAAGCGGAGGAAACCAUUUUGUCGUACGAACCGGUGCAGCGUCUGCAAAUCACCUACACGCGCCCUGUCAUUAUUCUGGGCCCGCUGAAGGACCGCAUCAAUGACGACCUGAUCUCGGAGUACCCGAACAAGUUCGGCUCGUGUGUACCACAUACCACACGCCCCAAACGAGACUACGAGGUGGACGGACGGGACUACCAUUUUAUAGCGUCACGCGAACAGAUGGAAAAGGACAUACAGAACCAUCUGUUUAUCGAGGCGGGUCAGUACAAUGACAAUCUGUACGGUACGUCCGUUGCGUCGGUGCGCGAGGUCGCCGAAAAGGGCAAACACUGCAUACUGGACGUGUCCGGUAACGCUAUCAAGCGGCUGCAGGUCGCGCAACUAUACCCGAUCGCCAUCUUCAUCAAACCGAUGUCGGUAGAAUCGAUCAUGGAAAUGAAUAGACGCAUGACAGAGGAGCAGGCAAAGAAAACCUACGAACGAACGCUAAAGAUGGAGCACGAGUUUGGCGAAUACUUUACCGCCAUCGUGCAAGGCGACACGAUCGAGGAGAUCUACAGCAAGGUGAAGAAUGUCAUCUGGUCUCAGGGCGGACCGACGAUCUGGGUACCGUCGAAGGAAUCUCUAUGACCGCAGGCAAGCAUCACCUGGACGCUGCCACCAAAUAUGCGCGCACGGCCCGUAUCCCGUACCUCCGGCCACCAUUGACGGGUAGAGCGGGACUAAAAGGGGUGCGUGCUUUGUGCAGUGAAGGACGGGAGAAGUGACAAAAAACAGAAAAAUUGCGCGAAAAUUGUAGGAGAAAAGUCAAACGAAAGCAACAAAAAAAAAAUAUUUGAAAACACGACAAAAAAAAAAAAAAACACACACACACACGUUAAACAUAUGUAGACGAAAGUGGCAGAAGAAACGCCCUCACUUAUUUGCGGAUACCUUUACGAACGUUAACGUAUUUGUGUCGGGAUGAGCUCCGAGAGGUAUCGAUAGAUUGGUUGGAAGCGAAACAAAACGGGGGGAAAAGAAAAUACACCGUUUGAUAUACAUUUUGCAAACGGGGUAAGCAAGCGUAUGCGGUGAAAGGAAUAUGGGAAUUCUGAUGUCGUAGCAGCAUAAUAGCGUAGAUUGAGAACGAUUGUAGAUUUACACGUUUUUGCGCAGCUCGUUCCCUACCAUUUGUCUCCUUUCAUUCCCCUUGUUUCCCUCCUUUAAACCCCCUUCCUCCUCCUCUCCCCCUUAUCCCGCCCUGCUGGGGGUGUCGAGGGGGAUGGAUUAGAGCGCAAAGCAUUGUUACUUGAGAAUUGGUGUAGCUAGCAAAAUCAUAACGCAGUCAGUAUCGAAUAGCAAAGAGGUACAGCAAACGGUGCUUUUAACAGCAAAAGGGAUGCGAACAUUGAACGGGAAGCGGUUGGCGUUGGCCCCAUAGCAAAGAUGGUAGCGUAACAAGAUUGACAUGAUCGUAUUUAAAUCGAAUACUAGACUCUUUAGGACGAUGGCGUCAUAUUCUCCAAAUCCCCCUUAUCCCCCCCCCACAUAACCCACAUCCCUGUUUACACUCCUUCCCACACCACGCGUAGGGAUGUAGCUUUGUUCGCCCCAGACUAGGCGUGAAGGAGCAGACUGGACGGAAGUCGGUAGCUUAGAAAAUGGUUAAUUGUAUGGCAGAUGGUAUUGUACAGAAUGAAUGCUUUAGGCAAUGAGACAGAGAGAAUCGUUCGCGACACGACACACGGACACAAAAAUGGAAUAUUAGCUGGUGUCCUUUAUUAGCUCAACGUUAAAGCAGUCCCCGGGGUGAGAAUGUUUCUUUUUUCAUGCUUGUAACAAACAAACAAACAAACAAACAAAACACACGAGAAGAAAACAAGCGGUAUCCUCCAUUCGUUAAAGUAAGAAGCUACAGCAUAUCCAAAAAAAUGAUAACAAAACAAACAAUAUGGAGAAAGGAAACGCGUACACAUACAUACAUACAAACAAAAUGGAGCAAACGAUUUGUGGCGGCUUAGGAACGGGGGUGACCACGAACAUAAUGAUGUGUAGCCACACCGUGAAAGGGUAUGCGCAUGUAUCCCUUUUCCAUCUUCCUUCUGAUCUCCCCCCCCCCCCCCCUUUCUUCCCCUUCCUUCACCUCCAACCCGCCCGGUCAUCGGACGUUUUCCGUUUUCCCCACUAUAUCCCGUUAGUAUACAUAUGCGAGGAAUGUUGUUGUUUAUUAAAAAGAGAAAAAGCAAAAAAACUUAUGUAAUUAAUGAUUUUUUUUAUUGAAUAAUAAUUUUAUUUUAACUGUAACAAAACAAAACUCACAUACACAAAAAAAAACAAACGCCUCCCCCCACGUUACAAAGGUUGCCGUUUGUGUGGAAAAGUGCUUGAAGGAAAUUUUGUUAUCGAUAACUCCCGUUCAAACCGGGUAGUGUUGUAUGAGGGGUAGGAGGGAUGUAUGUGGCAAUUCUGUAGUUUUGUUUUAAUUUGCUUAGUGUCGUUGUUUUAGUGGCGGUUUGUUUUCCGAUCGGGCCGGAUGUUCUUGCGAUGUUUCGCCUCCCCAGUUUUACACGGUGCGCGUGUUCGUUCUGGGGUUUUUGUGCUGCUUUCUUUGUGGUACCGGUGGGGCACCGUGAUGACCCCAGGCAAGGUGAGAUUAGAUUUCUAUUAGGGCAAGUAAAUUGAAAACCCCGUUUUUUUCUCACUGUUCAAACUAUUGCGGUUGCGACAAAUAGAUAUAUCGUAGGAUAGCAAAAGAAACAUGUUCGGAGGCAGCAAACAGAUUUUUUUUCCGCUCGUGAUAUUACUCUGUACCGACCGAACCGGCAGAACAGAUUUUGUUUGGGAACAGCUACAGUAUGGAGUGUGGAUGUUGUUAAACUAAUUUUAUAUUCUCUUUUGCUGUUCCGUUAACGAUUAGACCGUUCAGGAAGGUAUCACCUGGGAAGUAGAGCAGGCAGAAAAACAAGUAAUAUAAACACAUUGCGGUGUAAACACCUUAAAAACACCACUCGAAAGUGCGGAAGUAAGUGAUUGUUACACAACUUUAAAUACAUUUGCAAAUCAUGUAGACGAGAACAACCAAAAAAAAAAAUAGUGGCGUGCAGAAGCAUACAUUUAAACCACUAAAUGCAAUAAUAAUUACACGUGCGAAAAUACCAACACACAAACACAUAUUUCCCCAAACUAAAAGGACCAGCCACAGCCAGGCCCGAAGAGGCGAAAGCGUAACGGAAAGGAAGCGGCGAGACAGGCGACUUGAUGCUAAUGCUGGAACGUAUCGUAAAGAGCCGUGGCUGUAUGGAGGUAGCAAGUGUACAUAGCCAUACACUUAUAUACACGUGAGAAGAAGCAUUAUACCAACCCACUACCCCCUUUGCCCACGUGCAAGUAGUAAGGAGCUGCAGUAGCAAUAGGGAUUUCAUGACGGCACGUUUGGCGACCAUUGAACCGAGAGGGCACAGGAAUGUAAUGCGAUUUUGACCGCUCGAUUGAUGCCGAAUGAGAGACACAUCCCCAGGUGGCGCACAGCAACAGAACAAAAUUCACACAAAAACACACACACCUUUAUUAGCGGACAAUCAGGAAGAGGAAGCAAAAACCGCGGGCUCGUGGGCACGGUGUGCCGAAUUAUUCCCCAUUUAAACCGAUGGACGGUUCGUGUUUGCAGAUGAAUGGCUAUAGCCGACUGGCGAGGAAAAUUCGCGGAAUGAUGUUGAUGUUUGUUUGUUUUUUUAUUUUUAAAGUCGUCCAAACCGAACGGAAAACAGCAAGAAGCUGACAUAUUUAGCCAAGAGAGCCAAACGUAUUCAGUAUUUUUGCAGGGAUGCAGGUGCGAGUGUGCGUUUUGUUUUGCACACAAAGGUACAUACAGCUCCCCUUCUGUAGCCCACCCAAAUCCGUUCCGUCCCACCCAGGACUGUGUGCCAAAACAUUACGUUCCCAUCUUGUAGCCCGGCUGCAACCAACCAACACACACGUAU